This 502-nucleotide ribosomal RNA is filed under the name uncultured bacterium. Its description in RNAcentral is "bacterial SSU rRNA". It matches the Rfam family "Bacterial small subunit ribosomal RNA", at positions 355 to 874 of the family's 1533-position model. The record is from RNAcentral.
CUAGGAAUCUUGGGAAUGGGCGAAAGCCUGACCCAGCAACGCCGCGUGGGGGAUGAAGGCCUUCGGGUCGUAAACCCCUUUUGUGAGGGACGAUGAUGACGGUACCUCACGAAUAAGCCACGGCUAACUACGUGCCAGCAGCCGCGGUAAUACGUAGGUGGCAAGCGUUGUCCGGAUUUACUGGGCGUAAAGGGCGUGCAGGCGGUCUGUUAAGUCUAGGGUGAAAGCUCCCGGCUCAACUGGGAGAGGUCCUUGGAUACUGGCGGACUUGAGGGAUGCAGAGGAAAGUGGAAUUCCCGGUGUAGUGGUGAUAUGCGUAGAUAUCGGGAGGAACACCAGUGGCGAAGGCGGCUUUCUGGGCAUUACCUGACGCUGAGACGCGAAAGCGUGGGGAGCGAACCGGAUUAGAUACCCGGGUAGUCCACGCUGUAAACGAUGGACACUAGGUGUAGGGGGUAUCGACCCCCUCUGUGCCGCAGCUAACGCAAUAAGUGUCCCGCCU